UCCGAUAUGGUGUAGUGGCUAACAUUAUCGCCUCUCACGCGAUAGCCCCGGGGUUCGAUUCCCCGUGUCGGAA
Molecule: transfer RNA, 73 nt
Filed under: Coprinellus micaceus
Lineage: Eukaryota; Fungi; Basidiomycota; Agaricomycetes; Agaricales; Psathyrellaceae
Rfam family: tRNA
About the family: Transfer RNA (tRNA) molecules are approximately 80 nucleotides in length. Their secondary structure includes four short double-helical elements and three loops (D, anti-codon, and T loops).
Source: Rfam by way of RNAcentral